UUUUCACCGCAAUCAUCAUGGAGUCAACAUCUUGGGACUUGGGACUUGGGACCACGGACCCUAGACAAUAUAAUCAUUUUGAUCUAAUUGUUGAAGGAGUACCUACUGCUUCAGCGCUGACCAAUUUGAAAUUUGUGUUGGUUAACUCGAGCAGUAAGAAUAUAUAAAAAUGGCUGCAGUUGGCAAAGAUUUAGAAAAACCAACAGAUGAGGUGCCUCAGGUCCAUCGCAUCCGUAUUAACCGAUUUAAUAAAUCGAGCCAAGAAACAAAAGCCGCGUGAAGGGACCAGUUCGCAUGCCAACGAAAAUUUUACGUAUUA
Long non-coding RNA from Ctenocephalides felis (cat flea), 319 nucleotides. RefSeq lists it as uncharacterized. Lineage: Eukaryota; Metazoa; Arthropoda; Insecta; Siphonaptera; Pulicidae. The record is from RefSeq and is a predicted model, not a curated record. The transcript has 3 exons.